This 253-nucleotide ribosomal RNA is filed under the name uncultured bacterium. RNAcentral describes it as "partial 16S ribosomal RNA". It matches the Rfam family "Bacterial small subunit ribosomal RNA", at positions 524 to 776 of the family's 1533-position model. The record is from RNAcentral.
UACGUAGGUGGCAAGCGUUGUCCGGAUUUAUUGGGUUUAAAGGGUGCGUAGGCGGUUGAUUAAGUCAGUUGUGAAAUACGGCAGCUUAACUGUCGAGGUGCAAUUGAUACUGGUUGACUUGAGUACAGACGAGGUAGGCGGAAUUGACGGUGUAGCGGUGAAAUGCAUAGAUAUCGUCAAGAACACCGAUAGCGAAGGCAGCUUACUAGACUGUAACUGACGCUGAGGCACGAAAGUGUGGGGAUCAAACGGG